UCUUGCUGUUCCCCAUCUCUGCUGGUUCCUUUCUGAAUCCAAGCACCAGAAAGAGCAGAAAAAAAAAAAAAGACUGGGAGAUUUAAAACAGAAGAGGAGAAGGCGAUGUGACCACAGAGGCAGAGAUUGGAGUGAUGUGGCCAUAGCUGAGGAAUGCGGGCAGAUGGCAGAAGCUGGAGGAGGCCUGGGAAGGAUUCUCCGUCAGAGCCUGUGGAGGGACCAUAGUCCUGCGGACACCCUGACUUCAACCCAGUCAAACUGAUUUUGGAUUUCUUGUUCCUGGAACUGUGAG
RNAcentral lists this long non-coding RNA (292 nucleotides) under Homo sapiens (human). RNAcentral's name for it is "HSALNT0357814". The record is from RNAcentral. Lineage: Eukaryota; Metazoa; Chordata; Mammalia; Primates; Hominidae.